RNAcentral lists this ribosomal RNA (793 nucleotides) under uncultured Methanotrichaceae archaeon. RNAcentral describes it as "bacterial SSU rRNA". It matches the Rfam family "Archaeal small subunit ribosomal RNA", at positions 85 to 879 of the family's 1478-position model. Lineage: Archaea; Methanobacteriati; Methanobacteriota; Methanomicrobia; Methanotrichales; Methanotrichaceae. The record is from RNAcentral.
ACGGCUCAGUAACACGUGGACAACCUGCCCUUAGGACGGGGAUAAACCCGGGAAACUGGAUAUAAUACCCGAUAGGUCUCGAUUGCUGGAAUGCAUCGAGAUUUAAAGCUCCGGCGCCUAAGGAUGGGUCUGCGGCCUAUCAGGUAGUAGUGGGUGUAGCGUACCUACUAGCCUACGACGGGUACGGGUUGUGAGAGCAAGAGCCCGGAGAUGGAUUCUGAGACACGAAUCCAGGCCCUACGGGGUGCAGCAGGCGCGAAAACUUUACAAUGCUGGCAACAGCGAUAAGGGAACCUCGAGUGCCAGGUUACAAAUCUGGCUGUCGAGAUGCCUAAAAAGCAUUUCAUAGCAAGGGCCGGGCAAGACCGGUGCCAGCCGCCGCGGUAACACCGGCGGCUCGAGUGGUAACCGUUAUUAUUGGGUCUAAAGGGUCUGUAGCCGGCCGGAUAAGUCUCUUGAGAAAUCUGGCAGCUUAACUGUCAGGCUUUCAGGAGAUACUGUCUGGCUCGAGGCCGGGAGAGGUGAGAGGUACCUCAGGGGUAGGGGUGAAAUCUUGUAAUCCUUGAAGGACCACCAGUGGCGAAGGCGUCUCACCAGAACGGACCUGACGGCAAGGGACGAAAGCUAGGGGCACGAACCGGAUUAGAUACCCGGGUAGUCCUAGCCGUAAACGAUACUCGCUAGGUGUCGGCCACGGUGCGACCGUUGUCGGUGCCGUAGGGAAGCCGUGAAGCGAGCCACCUGGGAAGUACGGCCGCAAGGCUGAAACUCAAAGGAAUUGGCGGGGGAGCAC